RNA transcript from Alligator sinensis (Chinese alligator), 3449 nucleotides. It is a transcript of the gene named E74 like ETS transcription factor 2, with no coding region annotated. The record is from RefSeq and is a predicted model, not a curated record. The transcript is spliced from 10 exons. NCBI's taxonomy places the organism in Eukaryota, Metazoa, Chordata, Crocodylia, Alligatoridae.
AUUCCGGCGCGCUCGUCCCGGGGGGGCCGGCGCCUUGGCUGCCCGCGCUCACGUAUCUCCAGUUAAUAGUAUAAUGAAAAGAAAAGAAGACUUCUGGAUACAUGUUACUUGGAUUCUGAACUUAAGCCUUUGAUACCACAGGCUUUCAACAUUACAGUCUUUGGGAUCACUCAAUACGUUUCAAAGCCCCUCCAGGGAAUGCACCAUGACAUCAGCAGUGGUUGACAGUGGAGGCUCUGGCCUGGAGUUUGACAACAAUGGAGUAAAAAACCAGGAGGAAAAUGACCCAGUCUCUGAAUUCCCAGCAGUGAUUGUGGAACCAGUUCCUAGUGCCAGACUAGAACAGGGUUAUGCUGCUCAGGUCCUGGUUUAUGAUGACGAGACUUACCUGAUGCAAGAUGUAGCAGAGGAGCAAGAAAUUGAAACCGAAACUGUGGAAACAGUGGAAGCAUCUGUACAUGGAAGCAAUGUGCAUUGCACAGAUAAGACAAUUGAAGCUGCAGAGGCCUUGCUUCAUAUGGAGUCUCCUACCUGCUUGAGAGAUGCUAAGAGUCCUGUGGAAGUUUUUGUCCCUCCUUGUAUGUCAACCCCAGAGUUUAUCCAUGCUGCUAUGAGGCCAGAUGUGAUUACAGAGACUGUGGUGGAAGUAUCAACUGAGGACUCUGAACCAAUGGACACAUCUCCUGUGCCAACAUCCCCUGAUAUCCAUGAGCCAAUGAAAAAGAAAAAAGCUGGCCGAAAACCAAAGACCCAACAGUCGGCCAUUUCCAAUGGGUCUCCAGAGUUGGGUAUAAAGAAGAAACCCAGAGAAGGCAAAGGUAACACAACAUACCUGUGGGAGUUCCUUCUAGACCUUCUGCAGGACAAAAAUACUUGUCCUCGGUACAUUAAGUGGACUCAGCGAGAGAAGGGCAUCUUUAAACUUGUGGACUCAAAAGCUGUCUCCAAGCUCUGGGGAAAACACAAGAACAAACCUGAUAUGAACUAUGAGACUAUGGGAAGGGCCCUAAGAUAUUACUAUCAAAGAGGAAUUCUUGCAAAGGUUGAAGGGCAAAGGCUUGUAUAUCAGUUUAAGGAGAUGCCAAAAAACAUAGUGGUCAUAGAUGAUGACAAAAGCGAAUCCUGCAGUGAAGAUUUGACAAUGCCUACUGAUGAGAAGUCUUUGGAACGAGUGUCAUUGUCUGCAGAAAACCUCUUGAAAGCAGCAUCUGCACGUGGAGGAAAAAACUGUUCCCAGUUAAGUUGUACAAGAACAGAAAAAGCAGUUGCCAGAGUUGUAAAUAUUGCCUCACCAGGGCAUGAUACAUCAUCUCGUCCCUCCACCACCACUACCACUGUUCCAGCAACAACAGCUCCCAGGACUGUUCGUGUGGCGAUGCAAGUGCCUGUCGUAAUGACAUCUCUGGGACAGAAAAUUUCAACUGUAGCAGUACAGUCAGUAAAUGCAGGGUCACCGUUAAUAACCAACACAAGUCCAACAACGGCAACAACUCCAAAAGUAGUAAUCCAGACAAUCCCUACUGUGAUGCCAGCAUCUGCUGAAAAUGGAGAGAAAAUCACAAUGCAGCCUGCCAAAAUCAUUACCAUCCCUGCUACACAACUCACGCAGUGCCAGCUGCAGACAAAAACAGGUUUGACUGGGUCAGGAAGUAUUAACAUAGUUGGAACCCCACUGGCAGUGAGAGCACUUACCCCUGUGUCUAUAGCUCAUGGGACACCAGUAAUGAGACUAUCAGUGCCUGCCCAGCAGGCAUCUGGCCAGACUCCUCCCAGAGUUAUUAGCGCAGUCAUAAAAGGGCCGGAAGUUAAAUCAGAUACAGCAGCUUUAAAACAAGAACGUGAAGUAAAAACACUGCAACUUGUGCAAGAAGAGAAGCCAGCAGAUGGAAGCAAGACUGUGACCCAUGUUGUAGUUGUCAGUACGCCUUCAGCCAUUGCCCUUCCUGUAACAGUGAAAACAGAAGGCAUAGUAACGUGUGAGAAAUGAAGGAUGGGCAGCUACCAAUGUGGCUUUUCUAGACUAUUAUUGAUUGAGCAUACUGACAUAAUUGGGGGUAGGAAAUGGAUGCGAUCACAAAGUAAAAAAUGAGAAUUUCAAAAUGUUAACUAAUACAUUGAUGACUUACUGGAAAUGAAUGAACUGUCCCAUAUUCCAGUGGGAAUUGAACCACAUUGAUAUACUGACAGAAACUGCCUCUUACAGUUGGGAAAACCAACUGAAUCAGUGAAGAAAGAAAACGAAAAGGACUGAAAGGGACCAAACAGUUCACUACGUAAUCAAGUUACACUAAGACCUGGAACACUAAAAUGAAUUUGUUAGUCCAGCUGUUUAGUUACCAGCUUGAUAUGCUCCAGUCAUGACCCUUAUGCAACUGUGACACUUGAUUCAGCUGGUUUUGGACCUUCCUUCUCUUGGUGGAAGAACUCGACUCCCCCACAUGUAGCAUCAUGAUGCAGGUCUUGGUGCUGGAACAAGUGUUAACUUCCUUUGACUUAGUCAUUACAGAUAAACAUUACCUGUUACGUUACAUUCGGGUAUUGCAAAAGUAUUCCUUUCCCAUUCUGCAUCCUCCUUGCCCCAGGCACUUUACCUUUCACACACUGGGGGAAUAACUCCCUUAAGAGAGCAAGAACAUAAUUCCUGUACUGCAUUCCUUGUACUUUUUGUCUUUUGCACUGAGCACUUUAAGAGGAGGAUAAUGCGAUGCCAGAUUUUGUAACAGCUUGGGAAAAUGAGGUAACUCAGUAGUUAGGAACAAAACACUGGAUCAAAUCACCAGUCCAUUCUGUACCAUUUCCUGUGUAACAUUCUUGUUAUUACCGUAUACUGCCAAAAAAAAAAAAAAAGAUGCAAAAUCCUGUUGGGACUAAUUACAGAACAGUCUGUCCAAAGGGGAAAUUUCUUCUAGUUCCUGUUAUACAAUGAUUGGCAUAUGCCCUGAAGCGCAAGGAUUUAUACCCGGUGCAGAAUUCUUAGGCUAGUCACAUUAUUCAUAUAAGUACCUAACCAUAUUCUGGGUGCCAAUGGUAUCCAGUGGCAGGGUGUUCUACAAGUCAUUUAGGUAUGGUGCAAAACAUAUUUGGCAACGUUUCUCUUCAAUUAUCCUUUGCUGUGUUUAUAAAAAAAGAUAAAAACAGUUGUUUCUGUUUAUCUUCUCCAUCCCCGCCAUCUUUCUUCCCUCAUUUCUGGAAUGUAUUUCUUAUGACUCCUUACCAUUUUGUGAUUUUAAUGAUUACAGUCUAUUUUGUGUAGGUUUCUGCACUGCACUUGGGACUGGAGAUCUGAGUACCUUGCAGUGCUUUAACCAAAUGCAAGCAGCGGUUUAGAUUCUCCUUAUUUUGCACUCAAAGUUGAUGUGAGAACUACUGCAUACCUAACAAGUGAAACAACUUUAAUAGUUCAUGUCCCUGAUUCCAGAAAUCAGACAGUGAGAUUAAAAGUCUGUCCU